Prinia subflava (tawny-flanked prinia) is the source of this 1520-nucleotide long non-coding RNA. RefSeq lists it as uncharacterized. The record is from RefSeq and is a predicted model, not a curated record. NCBI's taxonomy places the organism in Eukaryota, Metazoa, Chordata, Aves, Passeriformes, Cisticolidae. The transcript is spliced from 3 exons.
CCUUCCUUCCUUCCUUCCUUCCUUCCUUCCUUCCUGUCCUCCCUUCUUUUCCUCCCUUCUUUCCCUUCUUUCCCUUCUUUCCCUUCUUUCCCUUUUUUCUCCUUCUUUCCCGUCUUUUCCUUUUUCCCCCUUCUUUCCCUUCUCUUCCUUCUCAGCCCAGCUGAGCCCGAGCAGUUUCUAUACACACACAAAUCCACCUCCCCAGAGAAAGUUGCUGCGGUCGCGUUUCUGGCAGUGGUUCCCAAGCCCUCUUGCGAGCCCUGCCUCUGCCCCACGCUCCUCUCCGCCACGGACGGCUCUCCGGUCGGAUGGGAUGCGCCGGGAGCUGGGUUGGGGAAGGCAGGCUCGUUUCCACCGCUAAACAAAGGCUGGAAACGCACCAACAAAGGACCUGGCGCGGCCCCUCCGCCCCGUGCGAGAGCCGCAGAGCUACUGCAGCCCUCUACGCUUCCUCUUGAGGUUUGCAUUGUUUUUGAGAGUUGAUGUUACAAACAGAGGCCUGAAGGAUCCAUGAAGGGAUUAACUGAGGUUCUUGAUACUGUUUGUUUGUAUCCUGGCUGCAGUCAAGAAUUGGAAAGCCUGUUCUCCUCAGUGUUCUUCACCAUGAGAGCUCAAUAAAUACUUGCAAGAUUUGCCUGCCAGUGGUAAGGAGAAUGAGAUAAAAAACCACUGCAAGCAUGUGAAGGGCCUGGGAGCAGCAAGUCUUGAGGAAGCUGUGAUGCAGUUCCAAGCAUAUAGAGAACACAAGGCAGCUUACAGAGACAAACACUGCUGUCAGCUGAAGUGAAACACUGGAGUCUGUGGUUCAUAGUUCUCCACACCGAUACUUUCUUGGAGGUGACAAUCCCAACAAUAGCUGUUGUGGUACUUCUGGCCCUUGUGAAGCCUUUCUUUGUUGUCUCAAAGAUUAAGAAAAGCCAGCAAGUGAGCAUCCUGGUAGAUUUCUCAUCGAACUUGAGACUUUUUGCCUCUCCUGGUUUAUGUGAGAUGCAGUGUGCCAUGAAUCUAAGUGUUUAAGUGGAUGUUCCUUUGCUCACCUUUCUCAAAGGAUCACAGUCAAGUCUUCCCUUGUAAUCAGUUAGUCUGACCUAAGUACAAAGCUCAAGGCCAGCCCCCCUGUAAAAAAAUAAAUACUGACAGAUGAGUGACAGGGAGGUUUCCUGGGACUGCUGUACUGCCUGCCUGCAGUCAUGUUGUGUUGCCUGAGCUCUUCUCACCCAGUUCCAUUAUGAAAGCCAUGUCUAGAACACAUGUGUUUUGCAGUCAAUCCUUUCUUCCCUAUUCCAUCUCACAGGGGAGUAAUUGCUAGCACUUUCCUUUCACUCCCAUCUUUAAUGUCUCCUUUAAACAAUUUGGUCACAUAUUUAAUAUUUAGACUUAAGUCAAUUCUAGGAUGGGAUCCAAAUCUCCUGUAUAUUCCUAUUUCUGGCUUAACUGAGUGUUGUAGGAGAUACUGGCUGAAUUUACUCUGUGUUUUUACUCUGUCUUUAAGACAGCAAUAACUGUCCUGGAGAUGCUGU